AGUUGUCAAAGAUAUUUUGUUUAUUUGCUGGAUGCUUUUUUUUUUAUUUUUUGGUUUUUUGAGACAGGGUUUCUCUGUGUAGCCCUGGGUGUCCUGGAACUCACUCUGUAGACCAGGCUGGCCUCGAACUCACAGAGCUCUGCCUCCUGAGUGCUGGGAUUAAAGGCGUGCACCACCACCGCCCAGCUUGCUGGAUGCUUUAAAUAUCUUUCUUUGUUGUUAACAUAUGAAAAUUUAAUUAGUAUGUAGUUUGGUAUGGAUUUAUUUGUCCUUCUAUUUUGAGUCUCCUCCCCCUCUUCCUCCUCCUCCUCUUCUUUUUUUGAGACAAGGCCUAUGUCUCUUGGCUGGCUUAGAACUCACUAUGUAGACCAGGCUGGUCCCAAACUCACCGAGAUCCGCCUGCUUCUGCCUCCCGAAGGUGUGUAGUAUCGGUUUAAUGAGUUGUUUUCAAGUAAAAAGUGAGUGUCCUCAUGUUAGCUCAUGAGAACCUGGAUACCCUUUCAGCUUUCUCUUUUGACUGAUGUCUGCUGGCUCUGCUCCCUUGAUUUGAUUGACACUCAGAUUGAGGUACUUAGUACUACUGAAUGAGGUGAGAAAUUGGGCUUCUCAUGUCAUUUGCACCAGUCCUGAAGAUAGAAGUGCCUUGCAGUUGAUGAGUGAAAAUGAGAAGUCCUGAUGGUUUCUUUGGCCUUUCCCCACCAUUAUUUGCAGCUUCAGAAGUAUGGGAGUCAAGCAACAAACUUGACCUUGCUGUGUAGAUGAAGGUGGAACCGGAGUUCUUUUCUGUGGUGUUUACAGUUACUAUGCAGAGUAAAGCAAUGUGAUGGAAUGAAGACCUCCCAUUAUCGAAUAGGAAGCACAUGAAGAUACAAUGCCCCAAACAAACCCUCCUUCAGAUUUACAUUCUGACCCUUCAUCCUUCCCAACUGGUCCCAGGAUCUGGUGAAAGCGGUGAAAACUUCCACUCACUGGAGUGGAGAGAAGA
Peromyscus californicus insignis is the source of this 985-nucleotide long non-coding RNA. RefSeq lists it as uncharacterized. Lineage: Eukaryota; Metazoa; Chordata; Mammalia; Rodentia; Cricetidae. The transcript has 3 exons. The record is from RefSeq and is a predicted model, not a curated record.